GAGUGUUUAUAGCGUUCAGACUCAAACACUUUAUAACACACUGCUGUUUACCACGGUACAAAACCAACAAACACAAUGAAUCUCUUCAGCAGCUUUAUCUGGAUUCUGACAGCUUUUAUUCCAGCAUCCAGAGGAAUCACUGUGACUCAGCCUGAAGUUCUGACGCCACUAUAGAGUGUAAAACUAAUCCUGGAAUAACUAGCUGGGGUUUAGCUUGGUGUAACGAGGAGAAGUAUGAAUUCGAGACUACACUUCCCAUAAGUCCGUGGGGUAGCGUAAGUUUUACGUCUGUACGUGCUAUAAAUAGACGCACAGUAGCAUAGCGUUUCUGAUCUCAUUCAUUCAUUGACGCUACAAACAAGUGUGUGCUAAUAUCAGGUAAUUUGUGCUCAACCCUGUUUUAAUAGUGACUAUUUUGAUGAAUGUAUUGUAGUUACGAGAGCUGUUUCUUUUUAAGUAAAGACAUUGAUGUCAAGUUGUUUUAUGCUGCACAUGUUUAGAAACCCCGCUUGUAUUACUGGUGAUUGGCGUGGUGACAGUCCACAGAAUUGAUGAAUGUGUAAAUGAAUUAUGUUCAGAGGUCUCUUAAAGGAGCCACCCGUUGGUUUUUAAUUCCUCAUUCUUAGAUCCAGUUAUUUUAAAGGACUAGCACGACUAUUGUUACAUAUAUAUAUUUAUUUGUGGUGAAUUGCCCAGUGCUUUUGUUGUAUACAGUGUAUUAAUAUUAUUGUGAUUUUUGUUUUUUUCUUUAGUUGUCUUCCAUCCUGAUUUCACGGCAGCCGCAGGGUCUCCUCCAUGGGUGUGACUGACACUGGUGAGGUGGUGGGUUCUUCUGUGGGUUUUGGUGACGUGUAUUUUCUCUUGAGUGCUGUGAUUGCUGUGCAGUAUUGGAGUUUGAACUUUAAUUAAUGGUUGUACACUUUCACAACUAUAGUCGUGCCCGGUUGGAGCCCUGUGGUUUGUUGUUAACGUUUCCUGUUUCUUUUGUUUUUUUUUUUCAAAUGAGGUCUGUAUUAGUGUUUUAGAUAUUCAUUUUUUUUAUGUUAAGAUUGGUCUGUGUGAAUUGUAAUAAAACUGCUUAUACAAGCGCUUAAGCUUUCACCACAGGUUGUGGCCAGUUAUUAUCCCUCCCUGAUUCGGUGGGUUACAUUGGUAUCAGCAGAAACCUGGAGAAACUCCUAAACUCAUCAUUACUGGAGUAAAUGAUCUCUAUGAUGAGAGUUUGAGUCGAUUCAGUGCGAAUGGAGAAGAAGGUGGGACUGAUUUCACUCUGACCAUCAGUGGAGUCCAGACUGAAGAUGCUGGACAUUAUUACUGUCAGAGUUAUCAUGAAAUCAACAGUGAUGUGUUCACACAGUGAUAAAGAGUCGUACAAAAACCUCCGUCAGUCAGAGUCACAGAGACUGAACUGAUCCUGCAGCUGCUCAAACACUAUCACUCACUCAACUACACAAUAUAAUCUUAUAAUAAACAUCAGUUUUG
Long non-coding RNA from Onychostoma macrolepis, 1482 nucleotides. RefSeq lists it as uncharacterized. The record is from RefSeq and is a predicted model, not a curated record. The transcript has 5 exons. Lineage: Eukaryota; Metazoa; Chordata; Actinopteri; Cypriniformes; Cyprinidae.